RNAcentral lists this ribosomal RNA (264 nucleotides) under uncultured bacterium. Its description in RNAcentral is "partial 16S ribosomal RNA". It matches the Rfam family "Bacterial small subunit ribosomal RNA", at positions 524 to 777 of the family's 1533-position model. The record is from RNAcentral.
UACGUAGGGUGCAAGCGUUGUCCGGAAUUAUUGGGCGUAAAGAGCUCGGUAGGCGGUUUGUCGCGUCUGCUGUGAAAACGGCGGGCUCAACUCCGCGCCUGCAGUGGGUACGGGCAGACUAGAGUGCAGUAGGGGAGACUGGGAAUUCCUGGUGUAGCGGGUGGAAUGCGCAGAUAUCAGGAGGAACACCGGUGGCGGAAGGCGGGUCUCUUGGGCUGUAAACUGACGCUGGAGGAGCGGAAAAGCGUUGGGUAGCGAACAGGA